UUCCUUCGGGGAUGGAUUAGUGGCGAACGGGUGAGGAACACGUGAAGAAUCUGCCCUCCACUUUGGGAUAACUCCGGGAAACCGGGGCUAAUACCGAAUAUUGAAACAUAGACGGCAUCGUCGAGUUUUGAAAGAAUUUCGGUGGAGGAUGACUUCGCGGCCUAUCAGCUUGUUGGUGAGGUAAUGGCUCACCAAGGCGACGACGGGUAGCCGGCCUGAGAGGGCGACCGGCCACACUGGGACUGAGACACGGCCCAGACUCCUACGGGAGGCAGCAGUGGGGAAUAUUGGGCAAUGGACGCAAGUCUGACCCAGCGACGCCGCGUGCGGGAUGAAGGCCUUCGGGUUGUAAACCGCUUUCAGCAGGGAAGAAGCGAAAGUAACGGUACCUGCAAAAGAAGCACCGGCUAACUAUGUGCCAGCAGCCGCGGUAAUACAUAGGGUGCAAGCGUUGUCCGGAAUUAUUGGGCGUAAAGAGCUCGUAGGUCGUUAGUUACGUCGGAUGUGAAAUUUUGGGGCUCAACCCCAAACCUGCAUUCGAUACGGGCUAACUAGAGUUUGGUAGGGGAGACUGGAAUUCCUGGUGUAGCGGUGGAAUGCGCAGAUAUCAGGAGGAACACCGAUGGCGAAGGCAGGUCUCUGGGCCAAUACUGACACUGAGGAGCGAA
Molecule: ribosomal RNA, 668 nt
Filed under: uncultured Actinomycetes bacterium
Lineage: Bacteria; Bacillati; Actinomycetota; Actinomycetes
Description: bacterial SSU rRNA
Rfam family: Bacterial small subunit ribosomal RNA
Source: RNAcentral